UGUACCCUUUCAAGCGUUUCA
RNAcentral lists this non-coding RNA (21 nucleotides) under Arabidopsis thaliana (thale cress). Lineage: Eukaryota; Viridiplantae; Streptophyta; Magnoliopsida; Brassicales; Brassicaceae. The record is from RNAcentral.